AGAGCCCUGCUGUGUUCGGGACGAGACCGAUAUGUUUUGAGCCAACACCAAAACAUAGGGAGCCUGAUCCUAGUUGACGGCCGUCCUGCCCCGAAGGUAUGGGGACUGCGAAAGUCAACGGGAGGCGCCCACCUGCCAGCGGCAGGUUCAAAACGUCGGAUGUUGCGGCAUGGCGGGGUCAU
RNAcentral lists this non-coding RNA (182 nucleotides) under Sulfobacillus acidophilus. Its description in RNAcentral is "6S RNA". It matches the Rfam family "6S / SsrS RNA". Rfam says of the family: E. coli 6S RNA was the first non coding RNA to be sequenced, but its function was unknown until recently. It consists of 184 nucleotides that fold into an extended hairpin structure with a large single-stranded internal bulge. The 6S RNA specifically associates with RNA polymerase holoenzyme containing the sigma70 specificity factor. Lineage: Bacteria; Bacillati; Bacillota; Clostridia; Eubacteriales; Clostridiales Family XVII. Incertae Sedis. The record is from RNAcentral.